AGAGUUUGAUUCUGGCUCAGAACGUACGCUGGCGGCACGCCUAACACAUGCAAGUCGAACGAAGUAGCAAUACUUAGUGGCAGACGGGUGAGUAACAUGUGGGUAUCUGCCCUUUGGCCUGGAAUAACACGAGGAAACUUGUGCUAAUACCGGAUAAGUCUUUACGGAGAAAGCUUUAUGCACCAUUGGAUGAGCCCGCACUUGAUUAGUUUGUUGGUAGGGUAAUGGCCUACCAAGACUGUGAUCAAUAGCUGAUUUGAGAGGAUGAUCAGCCACAUUGGGACUGAGACACGGCCCAAACUCCUACGGGAGGCAGCAGUGGGGAAUCUUGCACAAUGGAGGAAACUCUGAUGCAGCGAUGCCGCGUGAGUGAAGAAGGCCCUUGGGUUGUAAAGCUCUUUCGUCGGGGAAGAAAAUGACUGUACCCGAAUAAGAAGGUCCGGCUAACUUCGUGCCAGCAGCCGCGGUAAUACGAAGGGACCUAGCGUAGUUCGGAAUUACUGGGCUUAAAGAGUUCGUAGGUGGUUGAAAAAGUUAGUGGUGAAAGCCCAGAGCUUAACUCUGGAACUGCCAUUAAAACUUUUCAGCUAGAGUAUGAUAGAGGAAAGCAGAAUUUCUAGUGUAGAGGUGAAAUUCGUAGAUAUUAGAAAGAAUACCAAUUGCGAAGGCAGCUUUCUGGAUCAUUACUGACACUGAGGAACGAAAGCAUGGGUAGCGAAGAGGAUUAGAUACCCUCGUAGUCCAUGCCGUAAACGAUGUGUGUUAGACGUUGGAAAUUUAUUUUCAGUGUCGCAGGGAAACCGAUAAACACACCGCCUGGGGAGUACGACCGCAAGGUUAAAACUCAAAUGAAUUGACGGGGACCCGCACAAGUAGUGGAGCAUGUGGUUUAAUUCGAAGAUACGCGCAGAACCUUACCAACACUUGACAUGUUCGUCGCGACUCUAAGAGAUUAGAGUUUUCGGUUCGACCGGACGAAACACAGGUGCUGCAUGGCUGUCGUCAGCUCGUGUCGUGAGAUGUUGGGUUAAGUCCCGCAACGAGCGCAACCCUCACUUUUAGUUGCCAUCAUUAAGUUGGGCACUCUGAAAGAACUGCCAGUGAUAAGCUGGAGGAAGGUGGGGAUGACGUCAAGUCCUCAUGGCCCUUACGUGUUGGGCUACACACGUGCUACAAUGGUAUCUACAACAGGAAGCAAGACUGCGAAGUUAAGCAAAUCCCUAAAAGAUACCUCAGUUCGGAUUGCACUCUGCAACUCGAGUGCAUGAAGCUGGAAUUACUAGUAAUCGUGGAUCAGCGUGCCACGGUGAAUGCGUUCCCGGGUCUUGUACACACCGCCCGUCACACCAUGGGAGUUGGUUCUACCUUAAGGCAAGGUUUCAAACCCUUGACCACGGUAUAGUCAGCGACUGGGGUGAAGUCGUAACAAGGUA
Molecule: ribosomal RNA, 1433 nt
Filed under: uncultured bacterium
Lineage: Bacteria
Description: bacterial SSU rRNA
Rfam family: Bacterial small subunit ribosomal RNA
Source: RNAcentral